AAACUUUCAACAAUGGAUCUCUUGGUUCCGGCAUCGAUGAAGAACGCAGCGAAAUGCGANAACUAGUGUGAAUUGCAGAAUUCCGUGAAUCAUCGAGUCUUUGAACGCACAUUGCGCCCCCUGGUAUUCCGGGGGGCAUGCCUGUCCGAGCGUCAUU
RNAcentral lists this ribosomal RNA (157 nucleotides) under Aspergillus bombycis. RNAcentral's name for it is "5.8S ribosomal RNA". It matches the Rfam family "5.8S ribosomal RNA". Rfam says of the family: 5.8S ribosomal RNA (5.8S rRNA) is a component of the large subunit of the eukaryotic ribosome. It is transcribed by RNA polymerase I as part of the 45S precursor that also contains 18S and 28S rRNA. Functionally, it is thought that 5.8S rRNA may be involved in ribosome translocation. Lineage: Eukaryota; Fungi; Ascomycota; Eurotiomycetes; Eurotiales; Aspergillaceae. The record is from RNAcentral.